ACACGACAGCUCACGGCAACGCCGGAUCCCAAACCCACUGGGCAAGGCCAGGGACCGAACCUUCAACCUCAUGGUUCCUAGUCGGAUUCGUUCACCACUGCGCCACCACUGGAACUCCGGUAUCGUUUCUUAAGAGAUGCCUUGCUUUCCUGGGAGUGUUCUUUGCCAGAGAGAAUUACAAAGAAGAGGAAAGACUAAACCCUGGCCUCUUGUCAUUAGAGCCCCAGGUCGGCCUUCUCAAGCCUCAGCCCUUCCCAGGAUGGGGAAGACAAGACCAAGUUUCAGUAGCGACGAGAGAGGUCGGAUGAUCCUGUCUGAGAGAUGAAGAAAUGCAUGUAAAUCCUAGGUUUGAACCCAGGUAUUGCAGGGACAGCCUGAAGGGAAGGUGUCCUUCGGAAAGCCCUCCUGUACCGGUGUCUCCCUCUCAGGAAAGUGCAUCACAGUCUAAAAGUGAUGAUAACGUGGUUGGUCACUGCACUUCAAAAUCAAUAACUGCCUUUCUCUUUUUCCUCACUGGACCGAAGCAAUUCACUUAAGCAGCCUGGGCCACAGUUCAUGACUAAGGAUGACACAGUUAUCUAAAUGCCGCAGUUUGACCUGCUGCUUUAGCGGUCUCAUCUGGGCGGGGAGAUGGUUGCUUGGACACAUGUUGGUUGCUUCUGUCCAGGGCUGACAAGAAAGCCCUAAAAGGUGUAGAUGGGGAGGGGGUUGGGGGCUAUGACAGCAAAGAGCAGGAGUUCCCAGCUGUUGAUGGAGCGGGGAAGGGCUGGUGGGCAAAAAACAAUCCCUCUGGCAGAGAAGGUGAGUUCGGGGUGUGUGUAGACGGCGGCCACUCAAACUAGGCGCUGGUGGAGCUCUAAGUUGUCAUGGUGUUUUUGGAGGACACGUUGGUCAUCUACAAGUUAGAGUCAGACUGGAACACGUGCAGACCCUGUGAUUCAGCCGUUCAAGGUCGCGGAAAUGGCCCUUGGAAGUGCUCACACCAAGCGAAGGAUGCUCUUUGCUUUACUCUCUGGAUGACCAUGAAGAGAUCUGCUGGGUGCAAUGAGAAGUACUGGCACCAAACAGUAAUGUAACUGCAUUGGUUUCGCUGCCGUCCACCGCUUCCUGCCGUCCCGUCUGCUUGUCUUCGUAAUGCCAAGUCUACCUUCCAUCAAGUGGGUGUUGGUAUCAAUGGUGCUUCGCAUUUUAGGAGCCGUCCAUCUUUGAGGAUGCGGCCGUGGCCUCGCCGAGGAGGAGCUGGGGCUGCUGGGCCCCGCCCGGAGGAGACUGUACCCGGAAGUGAUGCUGGAGACCUUCUGGAACGUGGUCUCUGUGGGCGAGGGGGACCUCUAGGUAAUUGGAGCUUAGCUUAUUGGAGUCUUGCCCCCUGAAGAGAGGCUGGUUUUGGUCUUUGUGUGCCGGUUAAAUCCUUUUUAUGUAGAGCUGUUCUAACAUACUUUUGUUUAGCCCGGCCUGCAUCCUUUCCAGGUCUGUCCUUCAAAGGCCUGAAAGUCUUGGGGUUAGGGCUGCAUUUUUCAGAUUUUUUUUUUUUUUAAAUAAUGAGCCUUACUUAGUCUUGAGUUUUCUUGCGAUUUCAGGGCAACCACCUCUCAAGCCUGGUAACAUAGCCCGUUUGGGACAAGACACAGAAACUCCAAGACAGGCACAUCCAGGUGAGAACCACGGAGCCUGGAGUCCUGGCCAGGCAGCCAGGGGUGAGCUUGCCACGCACAGGCCGAUCCCCACCCUGACCUUGACUGUGGAUACGGCAGGUACCACAGUAGGUGACUGUUGUGCGGCCUCAUUUCUCUGACUCAGUCCUGACCUUCUCGUCGUUCCGUCACGCUUUCCAGAGAGUGACAGACCCAGAGCGGGAGAGGGGGUCUCUGGACUUUCUCCCGUUGAUAGUAAGAGACAGGCAGUGGAAGACAAGCAAGCCUGGGGCAGAGAGACUCUUCCAGAAGGUUGAGAGGUCACGGAUUUCUCACUUAACUUGGGUCCUGCAAGUUCGUGUCUAGAAACGGGUUCCUGUUACCUCAGCCUUAAAAGAUAAAAAUAGCCGAAAAGAAUAUCGGAGAGCAGGGACACAUUUUUAAAACCAUGUGGAGGGAGCUCUGAGGUAAAUAUGACAAUGUACUGACUCAGCAUCAGUGACAGGGAUGCACUGAGAUUUUUACGUCUCCAGACCUCAUCCCUGUCACCUGGAUUCCUGUGGCAUAUGCUCGCAGGAGCCACAGACGGAGCAUUUUGCAGGAUUUGGUGCUUUGCUCCCAUCCCAGGUUCAGAUCAUACGUACUCAGAAUCAGCGUAACCCUGGGGGGCAGUGUGGUGAGAGUGCCCACCAGGUGUGGGCUCUAAAACCAGACCAGUGUGCUGGGAUCCCGGCACCCCGCUUCCUCACUGCUCCAUGGAGCAGCGUAACUAGGCCACAUACCGUCUCUGUGCCCAGGUUUCCCCCUCUGUAACAUGAGGGUUAUAAUGAAUCCCACCUCCACGGUAUUCGGAGGGUGAAAUAAGUUCAUGUAUGUACCUCUGCGGCACCUGGGAAGUAUUAUAAUAGUGUCAUAUCAUCAUCAUCGACAUCAGCAUUAUUAAGUAAAGAAGUAAAUUUUUAGGUGUAAAAUACUGUUAAGAAUUUUUCUUUUUUUCUGGGCAGUUCUAUGAUGACACAUAGUCUGCUACUAAUAGGAUCCUAUUAACAUUUAGCCUCAAAGCUUAUUAGCAGGAGCCUCUUCCUGGGAGUUCCCUUCGUGGCUCAGCAGUUAAUGAACCCAACGAGGAUCCAUGAGGAUGCGGG
Non-coding RNA from Sus scrofa (pig), 2779 nucleotides. NCBI's taxonomy places the organism in Eukaryota, Metazoa, Chordata, Mammalia, Artiodactyla, Suidae. The record is from RefSeq and is a predicted model, not a curated record.